GUAAGGGAUAUUGCGACAAUGGACGAAAGUCUGACGCAGCAACGCCGCGUGCGGGAUGACGGCCUUCGGGUUGUAAACCGCUUUUCGGGGGGAAGAGGAAGGACGGUACCCCCGGAAUAAGUCUCGGCUAACUACGUGCCAGCAGCCGCGGUAAAACGUAGGAGGCGAGCGUUAUCCGGAUUUACUGGGUGUAAAGCGCGUGCAGGCGGUUCUGCAAGUCGUGCGUGAAAGCGCCCGGCUCAACCGGGCGAGGUCGUGCGAAACUGCAGAGCUAGAGGUAGGUAGAGGCGUGUGGAAUUCCGGGUGUAGUGGUGAAAUGCGUAGAGAUCCGGAGGAACACCAGUGGCGAAGGCGACACGCUGGGCCUGACCUGACGCUCAGACGCGAAAGCAUGGGUAGCGAACGGGAUUAGAAACCCUGGUAGUCC
RNAcentral lists this ribosomal RNA (427 nucleotides) under uncultured bacterium. RNAcentral's name for it is "bacterial SSU rRNA". It matches the Rfam family "Bacterial small subunit ribosomal RNA", at positions 354 to 796 of the family's 1533-position model. The record is from RNAcentral.